This 109-nucleotide ribosomal RNA is filed under the name Oncorhynchus kisutch (coho salmon). Lineage: Eukaryota; Metazoa; Chordata; Actinopteri; Salmoniformes; Salmonidae. The record is from RNAcentral.
GCUUAUGACCACACCGGCCUGAGUACGCCUGAUCUCAGAAGCUAAGCAGGGUCGGGCCUGGUUAGUACUUGGAUGGGAGACCACCUGGGAAUACCAGGUGCUGUAAGCG